UCCUCACUGUGAACCAGAACACCGGGAAAAAUCCGGAGGUUAGGAUCAUGCGUGAUGUGCCACCUGUUUUCGCGUGCAGCUUGUGUUUUUUUUUCUUUCUUUUUUCUUUCUCUCUUUUUUUUCUAUUAUAGUUAAUGUCAUGUUUACAUGAGAAGAGGUGAUCACGGAUUCGUUUAAGUGCGUCGGUGCUUUGGGAACACGUUGCUAUGUAUAGUUUGUCUCGAAAUUUAUGCACGAGUGUGAAAGUUAACCUCUUCGAAACAUUAAGGAGAAGUGGAAUUUGAGUAUUCGUAACAUUCAGUGAUAACAUUUAAUUGGACAAUUCUCCGUAAAAAUAUAUACCUUUAAAUUGUGAAAAUUAAUUACAUAUGUUAGAUAAUUUUGUUGUUAAUUAACGAUAUUUAUGAUUACUUGUUAUACCAUUCCUUGAGAGAAAAUUAUACGACUAGAGUGAAGAGAAAAAGAAUAGCACGAAUAAAAUUAAUUAACGUAAAGAAAUUAUUUUAUUGACUUUCACGUUAUUUCUGUCCUCAAGAAAGAUUAUGUAAAUAUUAUGUUACCAACAUUUGGGUGGCUGUUACAUAAAACUUAUUUCCACGCAUUAUGAGAGCAAAGUAUACACCAAAUAUCCGUUUAAUUACAUCACUUAAAAAAGGUGAAAUAUCUUUCGAACUUUCGAAUAAGUAAAAGAUCUUACGAAUCUUAUUACUUAUACUACACCAUAAUCGAGGAUAUUCCGGUUUGUCCAGAAUUUAUCUUUUACGUAAUACACACAGUCGCAAAGCUUCCUCGAUCUACUCAAAUUCUACAUUCUCCCUUCGAAAUGAGAUUUUUUAGAAUAUUUUUUUUUUUUUUUACAGCGAGUAACCAAGAAAUACGAGAUAUCACGGAUAUAAAAAGAC
This is a long non-coding RNA of Apis florea (little honeybee), 902 nucleotides long. Lineage: Eukaryota; Metazoa; Arthropoda; Insecta; Hymenoptera; Apidae. The record is from RefSeq and is a predicted model, not a curated record.